Non-coding RNA from Arvicanthis niloticus (Nile rat), 72 nucleotides. NCBI's taxonomy places the organism in Eukaryota, Metazoa, Chordata, Mammalia, Rodentia, Muridae. The record is from RefSeq and is a predicted model, not a curated record.
UUGGUUCAUGAUGACCACCGGUGGCAAUUGACUCAUACAUGAUGACUACACGUCUGAAACACCAAGAUUAAC